GCCGCGUUAGCGUAGUGGUAGCGCGUCGCACUUGUAGCACUGCAAUCUUCUCUUGCCUGCUGAGAUGCGAAGGUCACUCGUUCGACCCGGGUACGUGGCA
Molecule: non-coding RNA, 100 nt
Organism: Fomitopsis serialis
Lineage: Eukaryota; Fungi; Basidiomycota; Agaricomycetes; Polyporales; Fomitopsidaceae
Source: the annotation of a RefSeq genome assembly